RNAcentral lists this ribosomal RNA (427 nucleotides) under uncultured bacterium. Its description in RNAcentral is "partial 16S ribosomal RNA". It matches the Rfam family "Bacterial small subunit ribosomal RNA", at positions 355 to 774 of the family's 1533-position model. The record is from RNAcentral.
UGGGGAAUAUUGCACAAUGGGCGCAAGCCUGAUGCAGCCAUGCCGCGUGUAUGAAGAAGGCCUUCGGGUUGUAAAGUACUUUCAGCGGGGAGGAAGGUGUUGUGGUUAAUAACCACAGCAAUUGACGUUACCCGCAGAAGAAGCACCGGCUAACUCCGUGCCAGCAGCCGCGGUAAUACGGAGGGUGCAAGCGUUAAUCGGAAUUACUGGGCGUAAAGCGCACGCAGGCGGUCUGUCAAGUCGGAUGUGAAAUCCCCGGGCUCAACCUGGGAACUGCAUCCGAAACUGGCAGGCUUGAGUCUUGUAGAGGGGGGUAGAAUUCCAGGUGUAGCGGUAAAAUGCGUAGAGAUCUGGAGGAAUACCGGUGGCGAAGGCGGCCCCCUGGACAAAGACUGACGCUCAGGUGCGAAAGCGUGGGGAGCAAACA